AGGAUGAACGCUGGCGGCGUGCUUAACACAUGGCAAGUCGAACGGAGAAACGGUAGCUUGCUACUUUUUUAGUGGCGGACGGGUGAGUAACGCGUGGGGUAACCUGCCCUUUGCAGGGGGAUAACAGUGAGAAAUCGCUGCUAAUACCGCAUACCAACUUCUUUCGCAUGAAAGAAGUUUGAAAGAUUUAUCGGCAAAGGAUGGACCCGCGUUGGAUUAGCUAGUUGGUGAGAUAACAGCCCACCAAGGCAACGAUCCAUAGCCGGCCUGAGAGGGUGAACGGCCACACUGGGACUGAGACACGGCCCAGACUCCUACGGGAGGCAGCAGUGGGGAAUAUUGCACAAUGGGCGAAAGCCUGAUGCAGCGACGCCGCGUGAAGGAUGAAGGUCUUCGGAUUGUAAACUUCUAUCAGCAGGGAAGAAAGGGCUUAUAGCCUAUGACGGUACCUGACUAAGAAGCCCCGGCUAACUACGUG
This 478-nucleotide ribosomal RNA is filed under the name uncultured bacterium. RNAcentral's name for it is "bacterial SSU rRNA". It matches the Rfam family "Bacterial small subunit ribosomal RNA", at positions 26 to 507 of the family's 1533-position model. The record is from RNAcentral.